RNAcentral lists this ribosomal RNA (498 nucleotides) under uncultured bacterium. Its description in RNAcentral is "partial 16S ribosomal RNA". It matches the Rfam family "Bacterial small subunit ribosomal RNA", at positions 27 to 507 of the family's 1533-position model. The record is from RNAcentral.
GGAUGAACGCUGGCGGCGUGCCUAAUACAUGCAAGUCGAGCGAACAGACGAGGAGCUUGCUCCUCUGACGUUAGCGGCGGACGGGUGAGUAACACGUGGAUAACCUACCUAUAAGACUGGGAUAACUUCGGGAAACCGGAGCUAAUACCGGAUAAUAUGUUGAAUCGCAUGGUUCAACAGUGAAAGACGGUCUUGCUGUCACUUAUAGAUGGAUCCGCGCCGCAUUAGCUAGUUGGUAAGGUAACGGCUUACCAAGGCAACGAUGCGUAGCCGACCUGAGAGGGUGAUCGGCCACACUGGAACUGAGACACGGUCCAGACUCCUACGGGAGGCAGCAGUAGGGAAUCUUCCGCAAUGGGCGAAAGCCUGACGGAGCAACGCCGCGUGAGUGAAGAAGGUCUUCGGAUCGUAAAACUCUGUUAUUAGGGAAGAACAAAUGUGUAAGUAACUAUGCACGUCUUGACGGUACCUAAUCAGAAAGCCACGGCUAACUACGUG